ACUCAAAGGAAUUGACGGGGGCCCGCACAAGCGGUGGAGCAUGUGGUUUAAUUCGACGCAACGCGAAGAACCUUACCUGGGCUCGAACGGGUCACGACUGCCUUUGGAAACAGAGGCGUUCCCGCAAGGGACGUGAUUCGAGGUGCUGCAUGGCUGUCGUCAGCUCGUGUCGUGAGAUGUUGGGUUAAGUCCCGCAACGAGCGCAACCCUUGUCCUGUGUUGCAACUAUUAAGUUAGGCACUCUCAGGAGACCGCCAGCGAUAAGCUGGAGGAAGGUGGGGAUGACGUCAAGUCAUCAUGGCCUUUAUGUCCAGGGCUACACACGUGCUACAAUGGACGGUACAAACCGCCGCAAACCCGCGAGGGGGAGCAAAUCGGAAAAAACCGUUCUCAGUUCGGAUUGCAGGCUGCAACUCGCCUGCAUGAAGCUGGAAUCGCUAGUAAUGGUAUAUCAGAACGAUACCGUGAAUACGUUCCCGGGCCUUGUACACACCGCCCGU
Molecule: ribosomal RNA, 500 nt
Filed under: uncultured bacterium
Lineage: Bacteria
Description: partial 16S ribosomal RNA
Rfam family: Bacterial small subunit ribosomal RNA
Source: RNAcentral